CCUACGGGUGGCAGCAGUGAGGAAUAUUGGUCAAUGGACGAGAGUCUGAACCAGCCAAGUAGCGUGAAGGAUGACUGCCCUAUGGGUUGUAAACUUCUUUUGUCUGGGAAUAAAAUGUUCCACGCGUGGGAUUCUGUAUGUACCAGAUGAAUAAGGAUCGGCUAACUCCGUGCCAGCAGCCGCGGUAAUACGGAGGAUACGAGCGUUAUCCGGAUUUAUUGGGUUUAAAGGGUGCGUAGGUGGAUUGUUAAGUCAGUUGUGAAAGUUUGCGGCUCAACCGUAAAAUUGCAGUUGAAACUGGCAUUCUUGAGUAAAGUAGAGGUGGGCGGAAUUCGUGGUGUAGCGGUGAAAGUCUUAGAU
RNAcentral lists this ribosomal RNA (360 nucleotides) under uncultured bacterium. Its description in RNAcentral is "partial 16S ribosomal RNA". It matches the Rfam family "Bacterial small subunit ribosomal RNA", at positions 338 to 695 of the family's 1533-position model. The record is from RNAcentral.